CAAAAUUCUCAGCUCUCUGUGAGCUAAGAUCAAGCGUAGUAUCUGUUCUUAUCAGUUUAAUAUCUGAUAUAUCCUUUCUUUGAGGACUGUAUAUUAAAUUGAUUUUUGAAACAGGGGGCCGGAAUAGGAGCUUGCUCUGUCCAUCCCAUGCAUUGACCUGGUAUUGCAGUGCCACAUCCAAAAUUCCUGCU
This is a small nuclear RNA of Gopherus evgoodei (Goodes thornscrub tortoise), 191 nucleotides long. Its record names the gene U2. It matches the Rfam family "U2 spliceosomal RNA". From Rfam's summary of the family: U2 is a small nuclear RNA (snRNA) component of the spliceosome (involved in pre-mRNA splicing). Complementary binding between U2 snRNA (in an area lying towards the 5' end but 3' to hairpin I) and the branchpoint sequence (BPS) of the intron results the bulging out of an unpaired adenosine, on the BPS, which initiates a nucleophilic attack at the intronic 5' splice site, thus starting the first of two transesterification reactions that mediate splicing. NCBI's taxonomy places the organism in Eukaryota, Metazoa, Chordata, Testudines, Testudinidae. The record is from Ensembl.